This 426-nucleotide ribosomal RNA is filed under the name uncultured bacterium. RNAcentral's name for it is "bacterial SSU rRNA". It matches the Rfam family "Bacterial small subunit ribosomal RNA", at positions 359 to 776 of the family's 1533-position model. The record is from RNAcentral.
GAAUCUUGCGCAAUGGGCGAAAGCCUGACGCAGCGACGCCGCGUGUGGGAUGAAGGCCUUCGGGUCGUAAACCACUGUCAGUGGGAAAGAAGGGUGUCGGCGCGAUAACCGCCGGCAUUUGACGGUACCUGCAGAGGAAGCCCCGGCCAACUCCGUGCCAGCAGCCGCGGUAAGACAGAGGGGGCAAGCGUUGCUCGGAAUUACUGGGCGUAAAGGGCGCGUAGGCGGGAUGGCAAGUCGGUCGUGAAAUCCUUCGGCUCAACCGAAGAACGUCGAUCGAUACUGCUGUUCUAGAGGAUUGCAGAGGAGACUGGAAUUCCCGGUGUAGCGGUGAAAUGUGUAGAGAUCGGGAGGAACACCGGUGGCGAAGGCGGGUCUCUGGGCAAUUCCUGACGCUGAGGCGCGAAAGCGUGGGGAGCAAACGGG